GUAGGUGAACCUGCGGAAGGAUCAUUAUCGAAUAAACUGGGUGGGUUGUUGCUGUCCCUCUCGGGGGAACUGUGCACGCCUUACCUUUUUUGUUUUUCCACCUGUGAACACACUGUAGGUCUGGAGGGAAGGGAAGCAAUUCCUUGACGUUCAGGUCCUAUGCUUAUACAUAUACACUAUUGAAAGUAACAGAACGAUUCAAUGGGCUCUAAGCCUAUAAACUAUAUACAACUUUCAGCAACGGAUCUCU
This 250-nucleotide unclassified non-coding RNA is filed under the name plant metagenome. Its description in RNAcentral is "partial contains small subunit ribosomal RNA, internal transcribed spacer 1, and 5.8S ribosomal RNA". The record is from RNAcentral.